Molecule: ribosomal RNA, 478 nt
Filed under: uncultured bacterium
Lineage: Bacteria
Description: partial 16S ribosomal RNA
Rfam family: Bacterial small subunit ribosomal RNA
Source: RNAcentral
GACGAACGCUGGCGGCGUGCUUAACACAUGCAAGUCGAACGGUAAGGCCCUUCGGGGUACACGAGUGGCGAACGGGUGAGUAACACGUGGGUGAUCUGCCCUGCACUUCGGGAUAAGCCUGGGAAACUGGGUCUAAUACCGGAUAGGACCACUGCCUGCAUGGGUGGUGGUGGAAAGCUUUUGCGGUGUGGGAUGGGCCCGCGGCCUAUCAGCUUGUUGGUGGGGUGGUGGCCUACCAAGGCGACGACGGGUAGCCGGCCUGAGAGGGUGACCGGCCACACUGGGAAUGAGAUACGGCCCAGACUACUACGGGAGGCAGGAGUGGGGAAUAUUGCACAAUGGGCGCAAGCCUGAUGCAGCGACGCCGCGUGAGGGAUGACGGCCGUCGGGUUGUAAACCUCUUUCAGCACCGACGAAGCGCAAGUGACGGUAGGUGCAGAAGAAGGACCGGCCAACUACGUGCCAGCCGCCGCGGUAA